CCUACGGGAGGCAGCAGUGAGGAAUAUUGGUCAAUGGCCGGAAGGCUGAACCAGCCAUGCCGCGUGAAGGUCAGUGCCCUAUGGGCGUUAAACUUCUUUUGUGCGGGAGCAAUAAUGGUCACGUGUGGCCAGACGAGAGUACCGUACGAAUAAGCAUCGGCUAACUCCGUGCCAGCAGCCGCGGUAAUACGGGGGAUGCAAGCGUUAUCCGGAUUUAUUGGGUUUAAAGGGUGCGUAGGCGGUGAGGUAAGUCAGGGGUGAAAUGCCCCCGCUCAACGGGGUGAAGUGCCAUUGAUACUGCCAUGCUGGAAUGCGGAUGCCGUAGGAGGAAUGUGUGGUGUAGCGGUGAAAUGCAUAGAUAUCACACAGAACACCGAUUGCGAAGGCAUCUCACGAAUCCGCGAUUGACGCUGAUGCACGAAAGCGUGGGUAUCAAACAGGAUUAGAUACCCGUGUAGUC
This 460-nucleotide ribosomal RNA is filed under the name uncultured bacterium. Its description in RNAcentral is "partial 16S ribosomal RNA". It matches the Rfam family "Bacterial small subunit ribosomal RNA", at positions 338 to 795 of the family's 1533-position model. The record is from RNAcentral.